This 497-nucleotide ribosomal RNA is filed under the name uncultured bacterium. RNAcentral describes it as "partial 16S ribosomal RNA". It matches the Rfam family "Bacterial small subunit ribosomal RNA", at positions 28 to 507 of the family's 1533-position model. The record is from RNAcentral.
GAUGAACGCUGGCGGCGUGCCUAAUACAUGCAAGUCGAGCGAACAGACGAGGAUCUUUCUUCUCUUACGUGAGCGGCGGGCGGGUGAGUAACAGGUAGAUAACUUACCUAUAAGACUGGGAUAACUUCGGGAGACCGGAUCUCACACCGGAUCAGAUAUUGAACCGCAUGGUUCAUUAGUGAAAGACGGUUUUGCUGUCACUUAUAGAUGGUUCCGCGUCGCAUUAGCUAGUUGGUAAGGUAACGGCUUACCAAGGCGACGAUGCGUAGCUGACCUGAGAGGGUGAUCAGCCACACUGGAACUGAGACACGGUCCAGACUCCUACGGGAGGCAGCAGUAGGGAAUCUUCCGCAAUGGGCGAAAGCCUGAUGGAGCCACGCCGCGUGAGUGAAGAAGGUCUUCGGAUUGUAAAACUCUGUUAGUAGGGAAGAACAAAAGUGUAAGUAACUAUGCACGUCUUGACGGUACCAAAUGAGAAAGCCACGGCUAACUACGUG